GGGGGCGUAGUAUAGCUUGGUUAGUAUGGCACCUUGGGGCUUGGUGUCGACGCCAGUUCAAAUCUGGCCGCUCCCA
This 76-nucleotide transfer RNA is filed under the name Candidatus Iainarchaeum sp. RNAcentral describes it as "tRNA-Pro". It matches the Rfam family "tRNA". From Rfam's summary of the family: Transfer RNA (tRNA) molecules are approximately 80 nucleotides in length. Their secondary structure includes four short double-helical elements and three loops (D, anti-codon, and T loops). Further hydrogen bonds mediate the characteristic L-shaped molecular structure. tRNAs have two regions of fundamental functional importance: the anti-codon, which is responsible for specific mRNA codon recognition, and the 3' end, to which the tRNAs corresponding amino acid is attached (by aminoacyl-tRNA synthetases). tRNAs cope with the degeneracy of the genetic code in two manners: having more than one tRNA (with a specific anti-codon) for a particular amino acid; and 'wobble' base-pairing, i.e. permitting non-standard base-pairing at the 3rd anti-codon position. Lineage: Archaea; Nanobdellati; Candidatus Iainarchaeota; Candidatus Iainarchaeia; Candidatus Iainarchaeales; Candidatus Iainarchaeaceae. The record is from RNAcentral.